This 745-nucleotide ribosomal RNA is filed under the name uncultured bacterium. Its description in RNAcentral is "bacterial SSU rRNA". It matches the Rfam family "Bacterial small subunit ribosomal RNA", at positions 33 to 773 of the family's 1533-position model. The record is from RNAcentral.
ACGCUGGCGGCAGGCCUAACACAUGCAAGUCGAGCGGUAGAGAGAAGCUUGCUUCUCUUGAGAGCGGCGGACGGGUGAGUAAUGCCUAGGAAUCUGCCUGGUAGUGGGGGAUAACGUCCGGAAACGGACGCUAAUAUCGCAUACGUCCUACGGGAGAAAGCAGGGGACCUUCGGGCCUUGCGCUAUCAGAUGAGCCUAGGUCGGAUUAGCUAGUUGGUGGGGUAAUGGCUCACCAAGGCGACGAUCCGUAACUGGUCUGAGAGGAUGAUCAGUCACACUGGAACUGAGACACGGUCCAGACUCCUACGGGAGGCAGCAGUGGGGAAUAUUGGACAAUGGGCGAAAGCCUGAUCCAGCCAUGCCGCGUGUGUGAAGAAGGUCUUCGGAUUGUAAAGCACUUUAAGUUGGGAGGAAGGGCAGUAAAUUAACACUUUGCUGUUUUGACGUUACCGACAGAAUAAGCACCGGCUAACUCUGUGCCAGCAGCCGCGGUAAUACAGAGGGUGCAAGCGUUAAUCGGAAUUACUGGGCGUAAAGCGCGCGUAGGUGGUUCGUUAAGUUGGAUGUGAAAUCCCCGGGCUCAACCUGGGAACUGCAUUCAAAACUGACGAGCUAGAGUAUGGUAGAGGGUGGUGGAAUUUCCUGUGUAGCGGUGAAAUGCGUAGAUAUAGGAAGGAACACCAGUGGCGAAGGCGACCACCUGGACUGAUACUGACACUGAGGUGCAAAAGCGUGGGGAGCAAAC